This 492-nucleotide ribosomal RNA is filed under the name uncultured bacterium. RNAcentral's name for it is "partial 16S ribosomal RNA". It matches the Rfam family "Bacterial small subunit ribosomal RNA", at positions 29 to 507 of the family's 1533-position model. The record is from RNAcentral.
AGUGAACGCUGGCGGUAGGCCUAACACAUGCAAGUCGAACGGCAGCACAGUAAGAGCUUGCUCUUACGGGUGGCGAGUGGCGGACGGGUGAGGAAUACAUCGGAAUCUACUUUUUCGUGGGGGAUAACGUAGGGAAACUUACGCUAAUACCGCAUACGACCUACGGGUGAAAGCAGGGGAUCUUCGGACCUUGCGCGAUUGAAUGAGCCGAUGUCGGAUUAGCUAGUUGGCGGGGUAAAGGCCCACCAAGGCGACGAUCCGUAGCUGGUCUGAGAGGAUGAUCAGCCACACUGGUACUGAGACACGGUCCAGACUCCUACGGGAGGCAGCAGUGGGGAAUAUUGGACAAUGGGCGCAAGCCUGAUCCAGCCAUACCGCGUGGGUGAAGAAGGCCUUCGGGUUGUAAAGCCCUUUUGUUCGGAAAGAAAAGCAGCAGGUUAAUACCCCGCUGUUCUGACGGUACCCAAAGAAUAAGCACCGGCUAACUUCGUG